Molecule: unclassified non-coding RNA, 343 nt
Filed under: soil metagenome
Description: partial contains 5.8S ribosomal RNA, internal transcribed spacer 2, and large subunit ribosomal RNA
Rfam family: 5.8S ribosomal RNA (bases 1-120)
Source: RNAcentral
GAUGAAUAACGUAGCGAAAUGCGAUAAGUAAUGUGAAUUGCAGAAUCCAGUGAAUCAUCGAAUCUUUGAACGCACAUUGCGCCCGCCAGCAUUCUGGCGGGCAUGCCUGUUCGAGCGUCAUUUCAACCCUCGACCUCCCUUUGGGGAAGUCGGCGUUGGGGACCGGCAGCACACCGCCGGCCCUGAAAUGGAGUGGCGGCCCGUCCGCGGCGACCUCUGCGUAGUAAUCCAACUCGCACCGGAACCCCGACGCGGCCACGCCGUAAAACACCCAACUUCUGAACGUUGACCUCGAAUCAGGUAGGACUACCCGCUGAACUUAAGCAUAUCAAUAAGCGGAGGA